AGAGAACCCUGGGAAGAAGAAAGGCAGAGAGGCCAAAGAAAGGCAGAGUGGCCAGCCAGACAAGGAGGAAACAGGAUGGCAAAAGAGAGAUGAGGUCUUGGUUGAAAUGGGGACCUCAAGUCACAGUUGAACACCCAAGCUGUCCUACACACUCCGGGGGGUGCUUUACGGCAGCUACUGGCAGAUUCACGCUGAAGCAUCCUGCUGAAGCAUCUUAGAGCAGGCCUGAGAGAUGCAGAGGUGGAAGGAGUGUGGUACCCAGUUCAUGCCUUAGCUCUGCUCUCAUCCUCUUCCCUGGAGAUCUGGCCCCAAGAAGCUGACACCCCCAUAACAACAGGCCACUGCGCCUCUGGUCAUGAGUCACCGUCUGCACACCUCGGACAGCAGGCAGAAUUUAGCUAGGCGGGGAAAACUAAACUGAAUGCUGGGAGAAAGAAGGCGGAGUCAGAGAGAACUCAUGUGCCCCGCCGGAACUUCACUUUACCCGACGCUUCCAAUGUGGAAACCGUGUCUGGACGCAGGUCUCUGCAGGAGGACUUUGGCUCCCGGAGGGCGGUUCAUGUUGACCCAUUAUCUCCUGGCAGCCGGUAGGACUGUGCAGAGGUAACAGGACUGCAGGGAACUGUCUAAGGCUCAGACUAUCUUUAAAAUGGUGUGUGUGUGUGUGUGUGUGUGUGUGUGUGUGUGUGUGUGUGUGCGCGCGCGCGCGCGCAUUUCAGUUGGGGACCUUGUGCUAAAGCCUGAGCAUCUUAUUGGCUUGAAGGGACUAAUGAGGUGCUUCCCUUUCAUGCCUGCCCUUGUAUGGAGUGGCUGACAGUCCAACUCUGUCUACUUAGCCAGACUGUAUGACAGAAAAAUCACUAUGGUGCACUCCUUUAGUCUCAGCACUUAGGAGGCAGAGGCAGGGGGAUCUCUGUGAGUUUGAGACCAGCCUGGUCUACAAAGAGAGUUCCAGGACAGCCAGGGCUGCACAGAGAAGCCUUGUCUUAACAACAAAAGUCACGAUGGCAUCUGUGUCUUCAGCACCACCGUACUCAUACUGCCCGGAGUGGAGAAACAUCUGCCCAUCAUGGGAAGAACAGAUCGGAAUGUGGAGCUCGGCUACCUGUCCUGUGCAGCCUUAAUUGUCAUUGUGACAUAGCCUAAGGCUAUCUGAGUGGAGUCACAAAGGAGCAAUUGCCUGGAUCAGAUUGGCCUGUGGACCUGCUUGUGGGGCGUGGUCUUGGUUGUUAAUUGGUGUAGGAGCGCCCAACCCACUGUGAGUGGCACCAUUCCCUACACGAGUGGUCCUGGACUGUUGUAGAAUAUUAUUUUAAGGUUGCUUUUGUUUAUACUCUGGAACAUUUAUUUAAUGAUACAAAGAUGCAUUUGAUUAAAUAAAAUUCACCUGUAGUCAGGAGGCUGCUGCUAGCUGACACUGGUAGGGAGGAGCCAAGUGGAGAAGGGAUUUUAAGGAGGGGCCAGGAGAAACAAGAGCACUUUUGGAGAGACUCAAGGAGAGGAGGUGAGCUGUUUGCUAUUCAGCCUCUCUGAGAAGCAGAACUCCACCUAAAACCUUGACUCUCAAGUUCUUUAGAGGGACAGAGGUUUAAUUAAAUUCCUUGGUAGUUUUGAAAGAGUUGGUGCCUGGGGGAACAGAAUUCCUUCAGGCCACAGGCCUAACCACUGCUGAUAGUGGCGGAGUUGGAAUUGCUGGUUCGGACAGCCAUGGAUUAAAAGGCAGCAACAGUUGCAAAAAAGAGGACAAUACUGAACUGCACAAGAAAGCCAGCUGAACGUGAGCCUGUGAGUGAGCCAGCAUGCAUCCUCCUCAUGGUUCCUGCCCUGACUUCCCUCAGUGAUGGCCUGUGACUAGAAUGUACGAGCACUGUGAACUAAACCCUUCUCUGUCCUAAGUUGCUUUCCGUCAAUGUUUAGACAACAACAGAAGUAAAGCCAGGACCUGCCCCAUCCCUACCUCUCAACCCAUAGUCCCUGCCUGUUUCUUGUAGUGCUGAGGGAACCCAGGGCCUCAUUCACGCCGGACCAGUGUUCCACCAUUGAGCCAUGCCCCGGUCCUCACUCGCUCUUGAAGGGAAAGACAUUUGACCCGGGUUGCAGUGGCUAGACCUCCCGGGCACUGUGCUAAUGAAGUAAGCUCCUUUUGGAGGGACACAGCAUGAAUACAUACCUGGCAUCUGGAGCACUCAGCUACUGAAACAGGGUGGGGGGGGGCUGUAGUUGUGGAGUGGGAGGCUGUUUCAGAAUGCAGGGCUUGGAAAAGUUCUGGGGAUGAAUGGUGGGAAGGAUCACGGAUGUGACUAUCCCUUGAAAUUAUCCACUGAAAAGUGGGUUAGAUAGUUCAGUUCAGUGAUUCUCAAUCUGUGGGUCACGACCCCGAAUGACGCUUUCACAGGGGUCACAAAUCAGACAUCCUGCCUAUUGGAUACUUACAUUCCAAUUAAUAGCGAUAGCAAAAUUACAGUUAUUAAGUAGCAAUGAAAACAGUUUUAUGGUUUUGGAGGUCACCACAGCAUUAGGAACUGCACGUAUUAAAAAAGCGUCGCAGCAUUAGGAAGGUAGAGAACCACCGUUUUAAUUAACGGAAGACAGCCUGCUGAAUGCUGUGCAGAUCUACCACCCCAGCCUCCGUUGGAGUCUCUGCAUGCUCACGGCCAGGAGGAGAAAGCCAUAGGUCCUCUGCAAGAGCAGCCAGGGCUCUCAAGGGCCAUUGGCUGAAGGAAGUUCCCCAUCAGCCUCUUCAACCUUUUUGACUGUGAUGGGCAAGUCACCUCUGCUUCAGUGUUUCUUACGCCUCUCUGGACUCUUCAGUUUCUAUUGGCUACCAGGUUCUCCUUCAAAAUGGCCUCCUGAGCUGGGCGGCAGUGGCGCACGUCUUUAAUCCCAGCACUCAGGAGGCAGAGGCUGGCGGAUCUCUGUGAGUUUGAGUCCAGCCUGGUCUACAAGAGCUAGUUCCAGGACAGGUACCAAAGCUACAGAAAAACCCUGUCUCAAAAAAACAAAACAAACAACAAACCAAAAUGGCCUCCUGGUUCUUGGCCAUCUUUUCGCCAGUGCCUACAGAAGAUCCCAUGAGGUUUGGCAUCUCAACAAGCCCCGCCCCAGGCCUCCCAACAGCACCAUUUCCCAAGAGAAUCGGAGGUUGUCCUAUCUGUCUUAUGCCCUCUUCCCUGUAGCCUGGCUUUAUUUCUUCACCUCCUUAGCUCUGAGAGGAUUAAAGUGUGAAACUCAGUACCCAGUACCUGCCCACCCCGCCCUGCCUCGUGCACUGCCUUUGGCUUCUCCUCCUCUCCCAACAGGAACAGACUAGAUCCCGCCUCAGGCCCUUCGUGCCUACUGCUCUACUACCCAGGAUGCUCUGCUUUCCUUGGUGACUUCUCAACCACUUAAUUUUGUUUCUGAUUUCACUCCCUCUUGACUGGGUGUGGUGGCACAUGCCUUUAAUUAGGUGGGGCUCAACGACACUGAGGCCAACCUG
Molecule: non-coding RNA, 3478 nt
Organism: Myodes glareolus (Bank vole)
Lineage: Eukaryota; Metazoa; Chordata; Mammalia; Rodentia; Cricetidae
Source: RefSeq, a predicted model, not a curated record